Molecule: non-coding RNA, 2490 nt
Organism: Chrysemys picta bellii (western painted turtle)
Lineage: Eukaryota; Metazoa; Chordata; Testudines; Emydidae
Source: RefSeq, a predicted model, not a curated record
CUAAAAACGUUAACAUGUAUUACCGACACGCAAAACCUUAAAUUAAAGUGAAUAAAUGAAGACUCGGCACACCACUUCUGAAAGGUUGCCCACCCCUGGGUUAUACCAAACUAGAUUAGACUAACGGGCCACAGAAUCCAUUCAUCCCACAUUUUAUUCUGGCCCUUAAGGAAUCUGUCCUGACUAGCAGUGUGCACCAGGAAGGGAGGGAUACAACUUACUUUCUUGACCUCUGCAUUGGUCACCUAAUGCCCUGAAGCAUGAGAGUCAGCUCCUGCAAACUCACCCCCUUAUCUAAGCCUGCACAGAUCUGUUGAUCAUCAAGUCAUUGAAAGGACUUCAGUGAUACACUGCAGCCAAAGCUUAUGUGCUCCCUCCAAACAUGAAGUGCAACAGGUGCCAAGUGACCCAGCUAUGUGAAAUCCAGACCCUAUGCACAACAUACCCUGAUUCUGGUUUGGCAGGUGGGGGUAAAUCUCAGCGCAUAGGUAGGGCUUGCUGGAUUUGCUACGCAAAGCUACCGAGCUGCCUUGCCCCUUGGGCACACAGAGAAUAUUUCAUGAUGAUAAAAAAGGACAAAUUUCAGUGAUCUCCCCCCCCGUGUCUUUUUUUUUUUAAAUUCAGCUCUCCCCAUCAGCCCUCUCUAAAUGCUGCACUGCUACCUUGGCCAAGAGAGCCCUUCACUCUUCUGCAGGUGGCCAGAGGCCUUUCCCAGAUGGAGAAGCUGAGGAAGUAAAGGGUUUGAUUCUAGCAGACCAGCCCUAAGAGAGACAGACAGGCUGAUGGUAUGGAGCAGAAGGAAGGAAGAAGGAAGUGAACCGCUAUCACUUACUGUCGCUUGAGUGUCAGCUUCCGAAUGCGGAUCAGAUACUGUGUGAUCUUGGUGAAGCGCUGCUUGCAUUUGUGCCGGAUGAAGCGUGGCCAGUAGAUGAGGUUCUCAUCUAUCUCCUCCAAAGCUUUCUCAUAGUUCUUGCUCAGUCGGACCUGAUGGCGAGAAGGAGGAUGAAAAGCUUUGGAGCAGAAACAAUUUUGGGACAUUCUCACAAAGGGGAGUGGAGUUUAAGGUGGUUGUGGUGCUACACCACUUCUGCUCGGUUUUUUUUUCUAAAACCCAGCUGUCAAGAGGAAGGAUGUUCUUGCAGUUAAGACACUGGACUGGGACUCAGAAGAUCUGGCUUCUAAUCCCAGCUCUGCCACAGACUCCCUGUGUGACCUUGGGAAGUCAUUUAAUCUCUCUGGCUCUUAUUUCCUCUUCUAUAAAAUGGGCAAAUUCCCUUCCUACCCUUUUGUCUGCCUUGCCUAUUUAGACUGUAAGCUCUUUGAGGCAGGGACAGUCUCUUAUUAUGGGUGUGUUCUAACACAAAAGGAAUUCAGUCUGUAGCCCAUCUAUCUAAUCCUUGGUCUCUCUGCUGAUGCUACAUACAAAGGAUCCAGCUGUGGUGAUGGCUUUUGUGACGUGGACACUUGCGAAUGGAAUUAUGUCCCAGCAUCUCAUUUUACAGAUAGGCCAAUGAACAGCUGUCAGUCAGAUGAGAACUGAGGAUCAGACCAACUCAGAUCAGAUUUGAAAAAAAGAGGUUCAAGUCUAUGUAUUAACAAUCCCCAGAGCCAACCAGACCAGACACAUUCAAAGAAAAAAAUCCCUUGGCCAUUACUUCAAAGGAACACUUGUAAAAUGUUCCUGAUUUCGGAUUCUAUUGAUCAUAGGUUAGAUUACAAAUGAAAGCCUAGCAAUUUAGUCAGUGAUUCAUCCAUUCUGUGUUCUACCUAGUGUCUUAUACAGCCUCCAUCUCCAUGGUAUCUUCACCUCUCCCCAAGUCCUAUCCCAGUUAUACAGCUGAGGCACAGAGAGAUUCACAGAGUGUCUGUGGCAGAACUGAGAAUUGAACUCAAAUCUCCCAAGACCCAGCCUUGAGCUCUAACAUAGCAUUCCCUGGCUUUCUAAAGAAACAGUCAGUGUAAAAUGACAGAGCUAAUAGUCUGUGAAAAGCAGGGACUACGCUGCCGUUGGAUAUUUUCUUGGUGUAAGACAUUUCAUUAGGAGGUUAAGUGCCAUAAACUGCAGUGACACAAGGGUUCUGCAGGUCCAGUAUACUGCAUUCAUGCUCAGCAAUAGAGGAUAUGUUCUCUCCAGAACAGCUGGUGCUUUUAUUUUUAUACAUAUGUUGAAGACAAAUUAAAAUAAUGUGGACUAGAACAAUCUCAAGGUGGAAGUGUCUGUAUCCCAUUGCCAGUCCUGAGCUGUUUCCCCACGUCAGAACCUGCUCGUUAUACCACCCACACCUAGGGACAAAAACAUCAGGGUUGAUUUAGGUGGGUUUAAAACAGGAACACUUUGGAUAGGUUGUAAAUAGUGGAACAUUUUUUUUAAAAAACAACAGUGUCAUCUGUCAACUUGCUGGAUUAAGUUUCAGGUUCGGUACGGGAUUUAACUCACCCGCUCCCAGAGUCGAUUGGGGAAAGCCGCCCGCUCUAUUGUCUUCAUGUACA